GGGCGUGUAGCUUAGUUGGUAGAGCAGAUCCCUCUUAAGGAUAAGGUCGUGGGUUCGAAUCCCACCCCGCCCA
Molecule: transfer RNA, 73 nt
Filed under: Flavobacteriaceae bacterium
Lineage: Bacteria; Pseudomonadati; Bacteroidota; Flavobacteriia; Flavobacteriales; Flavobacteriaceae
Also listed under: 4 other names
Description: tRNA-Lys(ctt)
Rfam family: tRNA
About the family: Transfer RNA (tRNA) molecules are approximately 80 nucleotides in length.
Source: RNAcentral